UAGGGAAUCUUCCGCAAUGGACGAAGGUCUGACGGAGCAACGCCGCGUGAGUGAUGAAGGCUUUCGGGUCGUAAAACUCUGUUGUUAGGGAAGAACAAGUACGAGAGUAACUGCUCGUACCUUGACGGUACCUAACCAGAAAGCCACGGCUAACUACGUG
RNAcentral lists this ribosomal RNA (160 nucleotides) under uncultured bacterium. Its description in RNAcentral is "partial 16S ribosomal RNA". It matches the Rfam family "Bacterial small subunit ribosomal RNA", at positions 355 to 507 of the family's 1533-position model. The record is from RNAcentral.